AGAUUGAACGCUGGCGGCAUGCCUUACACAUGCAAGUCGAACGGCAGCACGGGAGCAAUCCUGGUGGCGAGUGGCGAACGGGUGAGUGAUACAUCGGAACGUGCCCAAUCGUGGGGGACAACGCAGCGAAAGCUGUGCUAAUACCGCAUAAGAUCUACGGAUGAAAGCAGGGGAUCGCAAGACCUUGCGCGAAUGGAGCGGCUGAUAUCAGAUUAGGUUGUUGGUGAGGUAAAAGCUCACCAAGCCGACGAUCUGUAGCUGGUUUGAGAGAACGACCAGCCACAC
Molecule: ribosomal RNA, 285 nt
Filed under: uncultured soil bacterium
Lineage: Bacteria
Description: partial 16S ribosomal RNA
Rfam family: Bacterial small subunit ribosomal RNA
Source: RNAcentral